This 74-nucleotide transfer RNA is filed under the name Candidatus Daviesbacteria bacterium. RNAcentral describes it as "tRNA-Ile". It matches the Rfam family "tRNA". Rfam says of the family: Transfer RNA (tRNA) molecules are approximately 80 nucleotides in length. Their secondary structure includes four short double-helical elements and three loops (D, anti-codon, and T loops). Lineage: Bacteria; Candidatus Daviesiibacteriota. The record is from RNAcentral.
GGGCGGAUGGCGCAAUUGGUUAGCGCAGAAAUCUUAUACAUUUCCGGUUCCUGGUUCGAGUCCAGGUCCGCCCA